AUAUAAGAUUAUAUUUUUUCCCUCGCAUUUUGUUUGCGCAUUGAAUUGUAAAUAUCGUGUUUAAAUUGUUGUUUAUUUGUGAUUUUUAAUAUAUUAAGUAAUAAACUCUAUCGCUUUAUAUUGCGGUACGCCUAAUAAUCUAAUGAAUAUCAUUUGAACUUGCAGAUAUAUUAUGAAAUGCCAAGAUUGUCGCUUUUGUUUUCGCCUUACUGUUUGUUUAUUUCCCCUUCAUCUUUACUUGAAUAUGUCAUUAACAAAGAGACUGCGAUUUCUUGGCUUCAAUCAUUAUUCCUGGUUAGCAUUUAAUCACAUUAACUAGGAUUGAGGAUGAUUUACACUAAAAGAUUUGGGCGCUAAUUUUAGACAGGCCUAAAGUUUCAAUUGUUGCCCAACCUGUCACUUCGUUGGUUGAAAAUUUGGAAAUUUGAAAGCCUUCCAACCACGGGAAACCACUAAAUAAAAUCAAGUCAAAUGUUACAAUUAAGGAGGCCUAUGGAUCAUCUGAUCAACAUCAUUAUUAUAAUCGGUGGAAGUACUCAAAAGUUUCCUGGCCUUAUCUAAUGGUACCACUUGAACCUGUGAUUUACCUAUGGAAAGUUAAAUAAUCAAGUCAACUAUAUCUAAACAUUCAAAAAAACCAUUCAACAUGCAACAAUCAAAUUACUGCAACAUUUUGCAAUUCCUAGUUGAAAAGGUUCAUUUUUGUAGCUUCAAUCGUCAGUCAAUCUCAAUUUAACGUGUUAGACAGUUUAACCAUAAAUGAAUAUGUUUAAUCAAUCAGUCUCCUAAUUAGAGUAAUGAACAUUAA
Long non-coding RNA from Tetranychus urticae (two-spotted spider mite), 808 nucleotides. RefSeq lists it as uncharacterized. The record is from RefSeq and is a predicted model, not a curated record. NCBI's taxonomy places the organism in Eukaryota, Metazoa, Arthropoda, Arachnida, Trombidiformes, Tetranychidae.